UAGUGGCGAACGGGUGAGUAACACGUGGGCAAUCUGCCCUUCACUCUGGGACAAGCCCUGGAAACGGGGUCUAAUACCGGAUAACACUCCUGCCUGCAUGGGUGGGGGUUAAAAGCUCCGGCGGUGAAGGAUGAGCCCGCGGCCUAUCAGCUUGUUGGUGAGGUAGUGGCUCACCAAGGCGACGACGGGUAGCCGGCCUGAGAGGGCGACCGGCCACACUGGGACUGAGACACGGCCCAGACUCCUACGGGAGGCAGCAGUGGGGAAUAUUGCACAAUGGGCGAAAGCCUGAUGCAGCGACGCCGCGUGAGGGAUGACGGCCUUCGGGUUGUAAACCUCUUUCAGCAGGGAAGAAGCGAAAGUGACGGUACCUGCAGAAGAAGCGCCGGCUAACUACGUGCCAGCAGCCGCGGUAAUACGUAGGGCGCAAGCGUUGUCCGGAAUUAUUGGGCGUAAAGAGCUCGUAGGCGGCUUGUCA
Molecule: ribosomal RNA, 478 nt
Filed under: Streptomyces sp. 313A12
Lineage: Bacteria; Bacillati; Actinomycetota; Actinomycetes; Kitasatosporales; Streptomycetaceae
Description: bacterial SSU rRNA
Rfam family: Bacterial small subunit ribosomal RNA
Source: RNAcentral